Molecule: non-coding RNA, 72 nt
Organism: Podarcis lilfordi (Lilford's wall lizard)
Lineage: Eukaryota; Metazoa; Chordata; Lepidosauria; Squamata; Lacertidae
Source: the annotation of a GenBank genome assembly
GGGGCUGUACCUCAGUGGUAGAAUAUCUGUCUUGCAUGCAGAAGGUCCUAGGUCCAAGCCCUGGUAUCUCCA